Molecule: long non-coding RNA, 1383 nt
Filed under: Anser brachyrhynchus (Pink-footed goose)
Lineage: Eukaryota; Metazoa; Chordata; Aves; Anseriformes; Anatidae
Description: lncRNA (ENSABRG00000012595.1)
Source: RNAcentral
AUGAGACGCUUCUGCUGCAGCAAAACUCCACGGAAGCCUGCAGUGAUGGGGGCGAUGGCUGUGGCUCAGCUCAGGGAAGUCACUGCUGUGCCCCUGCUGCAGAAAGCACCAGUUCCAAAACUCAGCCCCAAAAACGUGUCUGCAAAGGGCGCUGAUAAAAGCCAGGCUCCCCUUUCCCCAUUCCUGGCUGGACUGGAGCUUGUGCUGACUCAGCUACUCAGCUUCGCCCCUGAGCACAAAUGGAUCAAGCUUCUAGAGCCAUCAGCGUGGAAAUGUUUGCAGUGGCCAGACCAGCACGACAACAGCUAUGGAAAGAAAGGCAAGAAAAUCCAGGUGUUUUGUGGGCUUGCCUGUGUAAAAGCAUGGUCAGACAGCUCAUCUGAGCUAGCCAUUGUCUGCCUAAUGCCACCUCUGGCCCUUCCCUUAAAUGCGGGGGUAAGAAGGGUGAUGAGUAUUUUGGACGCCAAUAAAUCACUUUACCUUCAUCACCUUUAUCUGAGGUUUUGCAAAGUUCUGGCCUCGUGAGAGGUGUCACUGGGCCUACAGAAGUGGCAACACCCUCCACAGUUCCUCUUUCCAUGCCCCUCUUCCCAAAGUUAAGGACACUGAAGUCACCAUCUGCAGUUCAGUGAGGAGAGACCUGUACUUGCUCCCUUGAAGGGUGCAGAGGAAAGAAGGGCCAUGGGGGAAGACUUGCUUCAAGGCUUUCUCUUUGGGCAGUUUGGGUAUGCCAAGGAGCCAGCUGUGUUUCAGAAGGUGGUCUGAGAUCCAGUCCGAAGCAACAGAAAGAUAAAAGACAAGUUCAUAUCUUUUAUUUCCUCACCGAUUUUCACUUCUAAGGUAGAUUUGGUAAAGCAGCAGCUUCAGGCUUGACACCAGGAGGAACAAUCUGAAUUAAUUUACCUAUUCCUCUUUUAAAAUCUCUAAGAUCUACCAGUUUAUUGUCAUCCUGGGAAGCACUGUGACAUUUCUCUUAUUGCUGACUAUAUUGUUCCUAUUAAAGAGUGUCAAUCAUUCAAUGCAGCUAGAUAUAAAUCAAAUGCAUUCCUUUCAUUGAUAUAAUUAGUGAACAGAAGGUGUGGGGGAAUUGUAAAGCUGUUGAAUUCUGCAAAUUAAGGCCUUCAACAGCAGCAACAAACCCCUGACUAUAACGAAAAGAGCAAAGACGUGUCAAUCUUGUUUAGUCACCUGGUUAGAGGAUGCAGGUUCCCUUACUGACAGUUUCAGAGUGUGACAGGGUAAGAAUUUGAGAUCCAGUAGCUCCUGUGGAACUGAACCCAUAUGAACUAUCUCAACUGACAUCCUUCUAAAUUUCUCACAGGAAUUGUUUAUCUAAGAUGAAAAAAACAGUUCUUUUUGUGAAAUUGAGCAUUUCAGCAAGGC